GUGAGGAAUUUUCCGCAAUGGGCGAAACCCUGACCCAGCAACGCCGCGUGAAGGAAGAAGGUUUUCGGAUCGUAAACUUCUAUCCUUGGUGAAGAUAAUGACGGUAGCCAAGAAGGAAGCCCCGGCUAACUACGUGCCAGCAGCCGCGGUAAUACGUAGGGGGCAAGCGUUGUCCGGAAUGAUUGGGCGUAAAGGGCGCGUAGGCGGCCUGGUAAGUCUGGAGUGAAAGUCCUGCUUUUAAGGUGGGAAUUGCUUUGGAUACUGUCGGGCUUGAGUGCAGGAGAGGUAAGCGGAAUUCCCGGUGUAGCGGUGAAAUGCGUAGAGAUCGGGAGGAACACCAGUGGCGAAGGCGGCUUACUGGACUGUAACUGACGCUGAGGCGCGAAAGUGUGGGGAGCAAACAGGAUUAGAAACCCUAGUAGUCC
This 425-nucleotide ribosomal RNA is filed under the name uncultured bacterium. RNAcentral's name for it is "partial 16S ribosomal RNA". It matches the Rfam family "Bacterial small subunit ribosomal RNA", at positions 354 to 796 of the family's 1533-position model. The record is from RNAcentral.